UCCAAGCUUAUUCUUUAAACCAAUUCAGGAUAUUAUAGAUAUCAGCCCAGGAAAAUCUGAAAAAGAUAAAUGAAGCAUAGCAUAUAUUUCUAUGGUUAAUAUAUCCUGCCUAAUGAUAUUUGACCAAGUGUUGGACAAUGCUACUUAGGUAGAAAAGGAAAGUUGAACGUAUUUAAAAACAGUUUGCAGUGUAAAGUUAACUGUGUGUCUUGGUUAUUUCUUUUUGUAUAAAAGUAAGAUUUUCACUCGGUGAUUUUUAACCAACUUCUUCUAAACUUCAACUAAAGUUCAACCAGCCAGAUAUACAAUGGCUUCAGAUUCAGACACGCAAGAAAUCAUUUUGAUUCUUAUCGCUAUUACACUGGGUAUCCUCGUCUUCAGUAUGAUAUUAUUAAUUGUCUACAUCUGCAUAUUCCAACGACAAAUCAAGAAAAUCAAGAACACUCUGUAUUCACCGGCCGUGAUUGCAACGAGAAAAUAAUACCGAACACAUCAUAGACAUAGUCGUCAACAACAUUAUUCCUAUUCAUGGAUGAAAUGUGUAGAUAUUAUUAGACUUGUAUAAAAUUUUAAAUAGAUUUAUGAAACACCGAACACUCAGUUUAAUGUCGAAAACUAUAACAAAUUGCUUGCAAAGCAUUAUUUUAUAG
This is a long non-coding RNA of Dendronephthya gigantea, 650 nucleotides long. RefSeq lists it as uncharacterized. The record is from RefSeq and is a predicted model, not a curated record. The transcript has 4 exons. Lineage: Eukaryota; Metazoa; Cnidaria; Anthozoa; Malacalcyonacea; Nephtheidae.